This 162-nucleotide ribosomal RNA is filed under the name uncultured bacterium. Its description in RNAcentral is "partial 16S ribosomal RNA". It matches the Rfam family "Bacterial small subunit ribosomal RNA", at positions 355 to 509 of the family's 1533-position model. The record is from RNAcentral.
UAGGGAAUUUUCGUCAAUGGGCGCAAGCCUGAACGAGCAAUGCCGCGUGAACGAGGAAGGUCUUGGGAUCGUAAAGUUCUGUUGAAGGGGAAAAAGAGCGGAGAGAGGAAAUGGUCUCCGAUUGAUAUUACCCUUCGAGGAAGUCACGGCUAACUACGUGCC